AUUUAUGCACGCGCACACACACACCCCUUAGCAACCGUCUAUUCAUGUGGUGAAGAUAAACUGGUGCAACCUCUUUUUUCUCGUGCAAUUUCUAGGAUGCAAUUCUUGGUUCGUGAACUGUUUGUCCGGUAAAGUUUAUUCGGAUAGCCUUAAUUGACCCUAUCAGACUUCUCUAUGUGUGCUUUCUACAUUUGAGGUUCAGUUCAGUAGUACAUAAACAUACACAAAACUUGGGCUAUGUUUGAUAAUGAAGCAGGAAUUUAUGCACACGCGCACCUUAGCAACCAUGUGUGGUAAAGAUAAAACAGUGCAAUCCUCUUUGGUUCUCACAGAAAAGCUAGGAUGCAAUUCCUGGGUAGUGAUCUCCUUGUACGGUAAAGUUGUUUUUUUUACUUCCUUGGUUGGCCCUAUCGGACUGCUCAAUGUGUGCAUUCUACAAUUGUUUUUCAGAUCAGUUGUAAGUAAACUUAUACAAAACAUAGGCAUUUUUUAAUAACAUGGCAGAAAUUUAUGCACACACGCACACACCUUAGCAACCAUUAUUCAAGUGGUAACGAUAAACCUGUGUAACACUCUUAGGCCCUCACACAAUUGCUACGGUGUAGUUCCUGCAACUUAUGACAAAAAAAUUGUUUUGAAGUAUAAGAAUAAACUAGAUUAUUUAUUGGCUAAGUAACUAUUACAUCACCUACAUAUAACUUAAUAGAGCAGGCAUAUUGUUAGGUGAUUCUUCAAUUAUGUCAUGUGAUUUAUUUGGGAGGUCAUUGCCAACAACUCUUUCGCUGAUAUCAACCUGAAACAAGAACAUGAUAAUAGUAUAUUAAUACUCAUACUUUUAUCUUUGUAGAAAGAAAUGUGGUUUAGGUACCAACUUCAUCACUUCCUGCCGUUACAAAUCCAUUCCUCCAAUCUUCUUUGUGGAAUUUUUGCUUCACGAAUGAACGCAUCAUAGCAAACUCAUCUGACAUGUUUUCUACAUUAUCACCUAUUACCUGUUGUGCAAAUGGAAUAUUUUCUUCUUUUUCAGAAUGCUAAACAAAAGUCAGUCUCAGAGAAACAUUUAUUCCGCUCCAAUACUUAUCACCAUAAAACCCUCGAAAUUCUUUCACCUCUUCAGCAUGCAUACUUUUAAAUACUUCUCUACAAUCAUUGAAUGGAAGGAUCCCAUUGUUAGCGUCAUUUAUUUGUUCCAGUUUCUCCUAUUGGAACAAAUACCAGCAUCUUAUUACACUAAGGUUAAAUUAAAGCAUUUACUUUAAUCACAAGUUGACUGUGAACAAACGCACUGGGAUUUGUAGCUAAAGUAUCAAAUAUUAUUAUACGAGUCAGACAGGUUGUAGGUAUGGCAAGAAUACGAUGUGGAUGCAGGUGGAAACAAAUGGCAGUACUGAAUCAAACCGGGUACAGAACAAUGAAUCAACACGUGUUGCCACAGAGAACAUUCAAUGCAAAACUUCAAAGGGAUGACUUCUUAAAUACGAGGGUUGUGUGUGUCAGUACAAUGCCCCCCUUCAGUUUGGACAUUGGUUCAAUUACAUAGUUAGUAACCUGGUCCACUACACAUUUUAGUGAUAUAGAAUUAGGUUGUGUAUACCGGUAUCUGUGACUGAUCUUUGGUGUGGGGCAAUGUAUAGUAACAACAAAUGUAGAGGUUAGUAUCCAAUGCGUAUCUCAUAUCCUGGAAAGUUAAAGUUACUAGCUGAUGUGGUUAUUUGGCCAGUCUAUGUUACACCAAUUGUACUGUUGAUUUCUUCCAUUAAAAUUUGAUUCGACCAAGCAGUUGUUGACAUAUUUUCAAGAAAAUCUGUCAGAAAAUAAUUCUAGGCAAGCAAACAAUUCACCAAACACUUCGAGUACAUUGCCUACAGGAAGGAAGUAAGGGGACGAAGGAGAAGAAGAUGAGAGGUAAACAUGCAUAAAUGAAGGAGGCCACUUUGGUCAAUUUAAUGAUAAAACUAUAGGGGCUACGAGAUUAAAGGGAUCACCUGCUUGACGUGGUGGAGGCUGAAGAUGCUGGAUGGAGGCGACAAAUCUUGCGAGGCGGUGUCGAGUGAAGCAUGAGAUUGGCAUGGAUGCAACUUCGUGAUGGUGAGAAUGACGCCGGUGGGAGCACGGCUUCGUGAAUCGUGAUGGAGAGGACGACGGAUGCCGACGAGGAUCCAACUAGCGACCUUCUUGAUGGAGGAAAAUGGAAGUCGGCGGCAGGCGGAUCUAGCGGUAGAGGAUAGCGCUUGAGGAUGCGGCGGUCACUGCGCGGGGUGCAUGGUAUGGGCAGCGCGCGGGGUGAUGAUGCCGGGUAGAUCGGAAUCCGGUGGUUGGAUAAAUGGGGAGAUGGGGAAGAUGACCAGGAGGAAAAAUAUC
This 2361-nucleotide long non-coding RNA is filed under the name Hordeum vulgare. Its description in RNAcentral is "long non-coding RNA (HVUL_LNC009991)". The record is from RNAcentral. Lineage: Eukaryota; Viridiplantae; Streptophyta; Magnoliopsida; Poales; Poaceae.